Molecule: ribosomal RNA, 510 nt
Filed under: uncultured archaeon
Lineage: Archaea
Description: bacterial SSU rRNA
Rfam family: Bacterial small subunit ribosomal RNA
Source: RNAcentral
CGGGUGAGUAACACGUGGGCAACCUGCCUUGAAGUGGGGGAUAGCCCUCCGAAAGGAGGAUUAAUACCGCAUAACAUCAGUACAUCGCAUGAUGAAUUGAUUAAAGGAGUAAUCCGCUUCAAGAUGGGCCCGCGGCGCAUUAGCUAGUUGGUGAGGUAACGGCUCACCAAGGCGACGAUGCGUAGCCGACCUGAGAGGGUGAUCGGCCACAUUGGGACUGAGACACGGCCCAGACUCCUACGGGAGGCAGCAGUGGGGAAUAUUGCACAAUGGGGGAAACCCUGAUGCAGCAACGCCGCGUGAGUGAUGAAGGCCUUCGGGUUGUAAAGCUCUGUCUUCAGGGACGAUAAUGACGGUACCUGAGGAGGAAGCCACGGCUAACUACGUGCCAGCAGCCGCGGUAAUACGUAGGUGGCAAGCGUUGUCCGGAUUUACUGGGCGUAAAGGGAGUGUAGGCGGAUACUUAAGUCAGAUGUGAAAUACCCGGGCUCAACUUGGGUGCUGCAUUUG